This 76-nucleotide transfer RNA is filed under the name Opitutales bacterium. RNAcentral's name for it is "tRNA-Ala". It matches the Rfam family "tRNA". Rfam says of the family: Transfer RNA (tRNA) molecules are approximately 80 nucleotides in length. Their secondary structure includes four short double-helical elements and three loops (D, anti-codon, and T loops). Lineage: Bacteria; Pseudomonadati; Verrucomicrobiota; Opitutia; Opitutales. The record is from RNAcentral.
GGGGCCGUAGCUCAGUUGGAAGAGCGCCACGUUCGCAACGUGGAGGUCGCCGGUUCGAUCCCGGUCGGCUCCACCA